AUCUAUUGAUAUUUUUGUCCGGUGACAGUAUUGUUUUGUGUGCUGCUCUUCGCCAUCGAAAGGGCUCGUCUCCCCUGGGAAGGAGGCGUGUCUGCGGGGGGUCGUGUGUUCCUGGGGGCCUGGCAAACCGCAAGGUGGGUCCAGGUCUCAAAGGUUGCACGGGCUACGGCUGGCCGAAACCCUUUUUUCCGACCUCAGACUCGCCUAGCUGAAGCAAAGUCUCUUCUCCGAAGAGCAAACAACCAAUGACAACUCUCAACAACGGAUAUCUUGGCUCCCGCAACGAUGAAGAACGCAGCGAAAUGCGAUACUUAAUGUGAAUUGCAGAAUUCCGUGAAUCAUCGAGUCUUUGAACGCAUAUUGCGCCCGAGGCCCCGGCUGAGGGCACGCCUGCCUCAGCGUCGGUUGACCCCUAUUGCCCUGCUCCACCCCGGUGAAGCUAGGGCAGAUCUGGCAGUCUCGCUCACCGCGAGUCUGCUGAAGCGCAGAGGCUGUGACGCAUCCAAAUUUGGGCGUCGGUUUGGUAGGUGACCUUGCGUCGCAUGCCACCGGAGCCUUGGAGGCGGCAUCAGCCAGCAGUCUCUUGACUGAGACACACUUAUUCAAAGUUCGACCUGAGUUCAGACGAGACCACCCGCUCAACUUAAGCAUAU
RNAcentral lists this ribosomal RNA (653 nucleotides) under uncultured Dictyochloropsis. Its description in RNAcentral is "eukaryotic LSU rRNA". The stretch from base 251 to 404 matches the Rfam family "5.8S ribosomal RNA". Lineage: Eukaryota; Viridiplantae; Chlorophyta; Trebouxiophyceae; Microthamniales. The record is from RNAcentral.